This is an RNA transcript of Zeugodacus cucurbitae (melon fly), 7624 nucleotides long. RefSeq lists it as uncharacterized. NCBI's taxonomy places the organism in Eukaryota, Metazoa, Arthropoda, Insecta, Diptera, Tephritidae. The transcript is spliced from 5 exons. The record is from RefSeq and is a predicted model, not a curated record.
UAUUUUUAAAAUAUUUAUAUUAUGAAUAUUGUUACAUUUUUUUAAAGCCUUAAUAGAUUAAUUUUUAGUUAACCACAACUGCAAUCAUUAAAAGAAAUACAAGUUGAAAAAGAAUACCAAAUUUAGUUGCAGCAAACUAAGCUGAACAAAAACACAAAAAAGUUGCCCUAAUGCAUGCAACCUUGUUGAUAUUUCUCUUUCUUCAUCGGAAGAGCGCAGACUACGCCAAUUAUUUUUUCUAUGCAUGUAUUAGUUUUUGCAUAUAUUUAUAUACUGAACCUGUAGAGAUAGGGAAACUAAUCACCAUAUCUGUAAUUGAUGUACUUCUUCUGAAGUAUGAGUGUGUAAGUGUGGUAUAUAUCGUAAUAAAACUUACUAAGAGUUUAUUAAUCAAGCGUGAACAAAUAGUCUAACGUAUCGGAUUCUUCUAAUUUAUUAAAUCUGAUGGUUCAUCGAAUAGAUGUUUACUUCUACGUUAGCUACUUUGAAACAAAAGUCAAAAAAAGUAAUUGGGCUAUAUUAAACGAUAGUAUUUCCCUGCAGGGUAUAAAUGCCUCUGCGCAUUUACAUACAUAUAUUAAUACAAGUAUGCGUCGUGCAUGUUUUGUGUACAGUAGUUUUCCGAAAUAACGAACACAUUAAUUGUCAGGCCUCUUCGCUAUAUCGAAUUUUUCGGUAAUUCGAGUACUCACUUAGAGGUAUUUUUAUCAAUAAAAAUGAGUUAUAUAUCCGUAAAUUGCAGUUUAAUAAAUUGUUUAUUAAUUAUUUGUUAAAAAAUGAAAAACUAUAACAAAACAAUUCAAAUCCAAUAAAUUCUUCCAAAAUGGACCAAUUCUGACACUCAUACUUCUAUUUGGUGCUGAUCAAUAAUUUUAAGCAACAUUUUUUCAUUCAAAUUUUUUAUUUUAAUUAUUUUUUUAUUUCAACAUUUUUUAAUUUGCACAUUUCUUUUGAAUUUUUCCAGUUUUAUUUUUAAUUCUUGUUCGACCGUAUUUGAUUUUUUCGUCUUUCUUCAUAUGUCUUCUUCAUGUUGUUCGUUAAACUGAGUACUUACAAAUUCUCGAUGUUCGUUAUUUACGGUACUCAAUGUAAAAAAUUUGCUUGUUCGUUAUAAGCGGUUAUCGUUAAAACGAAUAUUCGUUAUUUCGGAAAACUACUGUACUCAUAUUUUGAGAGGGUUUUCGGAUUGCUAGCUAGUAAGUCUACGUAGUGUUGACAAUGAGCGGGAGGUUCGCUUGCGAAGUGUGGCGAUAGCAUAAAAGUGAGCUUUGGAUUGGCGGUAUAGAUGUAAUGGUCAAUAGGCUAGCUGGGUAGUUGGACUCUGUAGGCUCGCUCGUAUAGUACAUUAAAUAUUCGUUCGCUUAUCAAUGAAUUUUACUUUCGUUUUUUGUUUCUGUUAGUUGCUAGCCAACGGGCGUUUUCAAUGCAUGAAUAUCUUUAAUAUAUUCACAGUGAACCACUCAUUUUUAAUAUGACAGGGACGCAUGGUAGAAAGCAAACAGCGAGCAGUUUCAAAAACAAAAACGACAACCAGCGACGAAAAUGAGCUAAUACAUUUGUUUACUUUGUUUAAUGAAUAGGCAAAUUUCUCAAUCAGCUGUCUAAAUGCACAAAAUUUGUCAUCUGUCACUGCUAUAAUUUAAAAAAAAUACAAAUUUCAUUAUUUCAAGAUUAUUAUAUAUUUUGGAUUUUGGAUUGUACAUAUAUUUACAUACACAUACAUAUUUGUACUUUGGAAAUCGAAAGACUUUCCUAAACGUAUUUUCUGCAUAUAAAAAGGGAUUUUCCUUGUUAGGCAAAAUAGCCAGAUUGCACCUAUGAGUGUUGCAAAAGAUAAGAUUAUUUAGUUGAAUUCGUGCAGGAGAGUAUGCGAAUACCUCAUUAAAAAUUCUAUCCUCGCUUGCUGAGUGCUACCAAGUUUUGUUUUACACAUUUUAGAACCAUUUUACAAAGGACAAAUUACUGUCAAAAUAAUAAAAAUUGUUAUACACAAAUUUGAAAUUGAAAAUGGCAGGCGAAAAUAAAUCAAAACGUAAGACAUGGACGGUGGUAGAAUCCAUGGGGCUACUAAAAUGCUACUUAGUUCAAGUAGUUGAAGAAUACGCUCCAAACAAAUUAGCAAGCAGCCGAAAAGUGACGAUAUUACUCAUGUACCAAAUAUAAAUAUACAACUUUUUUCUAGGUGGUACAAUUUUUCUUCCACCAGUAUUUGUUUUGGGCUCAAUGCUAUUGUAUAUUUCUCGGAAAGUAAAAUGUUAAAAUAAAUUUGUAAAGUCAAUAAAAUAAAUAUAUGCGUCCAUAAAUACACAUCCCUAAAUAUAUACCACAGAACGCCGCAAUCUCAUGUGCGAUUUGAAUUCAUUCUCGCCAUAGCCUUCAAUGACUUCGCAAAAGUUUUGGCAUUUAUUGGUUUCCUCCCUAUCCGAUUCCUCAGAGCUUUAUUGAUGAUUCCAAACUGGAGCUAGAUGAUAUUUCCCAAGAAUGAUAGAAGACAAGUUUACAGUGAGCUUUUUUGGGUUUUAAUUUCCUGUUGAGUGACGCUUUCACGACCCCCACGCGAGCAAAACAAAAAACGAAAGAAAAACUGACAAAUUGCACGGUAGUACAAAACAAUAAAACCAAAACAAAGAGCUGAAGUCAAGGCUAGUGCUUAAUUAUUAUUUAAAAUUCUAAGUGAGAAAUGUAUUAACUUGAAAAAGACAGUAGUACAAAAAAGUCGUAUAUAAAGAUUUUUUUUUCACUUUUCCAACUAACAAAAAUGUUGGCAAAAUGGCGAACUUUUUGUAACAAAACAUAUAAUUUUAAUUAUAAAUAUGUAUUAUUAUAUUGGAUCAUUUUAUAGAUGACGAUUUUAAGAAUCACGUUCAUUGUGAUAUUUUAUCUGUACAUUAUUCAAUUUGGUUCACUAUGUUUUACUUUUCCGUUUUCCAUUUGACAAUUCUUCUGUUGCCUAUUCCCAUUCGGGGGUCGUGAACGCGUCACUAUGUCGUAAUCUUCUCUUCUAUCAUUCUUGAGUAUACCAGCACUUCCAAUCAUAAGCUCCUCUUCAUUUUGUAAAUACUGAGAAACCCGCACAAUAAUUUAUUGGUAUAAACACAAUGCAUUACAUUUGUUUAAAAAAAUUAAAAUACACAAUAUUUUCCAUUUUCGUUUUUAACAUAAAAUGAUUCGAUUUUUUCGAACUUUGAAAAUUAAAUUGUUUUGUUAGCGAACUGUCAAAGAGUUCAGUGAGACCAAUUAUAGACAAUUCGAUUUCAUAAUAUAAAUAUUAAUAUAUAUUAGGCCAAUUGCAUCAUUCAUUAUUGUACUCUUGUUUUUCUGUAAGCUGGUUUAAAACACAUAACAAAUUAGAGACUGAUAUUGCUAAACUAGAGAUGAGACAAACGCGCCAGAAUACCAAAAAGUCAUUAUAGAAGUCUCUAUUAGAGACUUGAGACUGCUCGCAGAAUACCGGUAUAAAUCUUAUUAUUUAUUAAGGGAAUUUUUGAUUUUUGACAGACUUUGAACAAAAAACUCUGCUUUUUGAGAAAUUUUCGUCAUAUAUUGGCUCUUAUUAUUUAUUAAAGAAAAAUUUUAAUUUUUGACAGACUUUGAACAAAAAAAACUCUUGUUUUUGUCAAAUUUUCGUCACUCUAACCAGAGAAUGUCAAUUAUAGAGAAGGUUCAUGGUUUCGAAGGGGUACUCGUUUCUAUAAGCGUGUUUCACCACAUGUAGCUAUAAGCGUGUUUCACCGCAGCUUAACAUUAGAGGGCUCAAAAAUAACAGAUUUGAGCGUUUUCAUGUUUAAAUGAGAAAAAUUGUGUUAAUUUAAAUGUUAGUAAAUGUACGUUUACAGAUUCGCUUAUAUACAAUGCGCAAACGACUUGUAUACACUUAUAUAUGUAUGAAAUUUACAGAUAUUUUGUUUAUAUUUGAUAUUAAAGGACAUGCACACAUAUGUAAUAAAUGUCUACCCAUUAUUUAUUCCAUAAAAACCUUUGAAAUAUAAAAUAAACUAAAAAUAUUAUAUAUGUAAAAUAAUAUUAAUAAUAAUUACUAUGUAUAUAUUUAAUUACUUUGGUCAUAAAUAAUUUCUAUAAUAUCUCAAAAUCAUAAACGUCCGCGCAUUUGUAAUUAUGUGUGCAUGUAAACAAAUAUCAAAGAAUCAUUCUAAUUGUAUGUAAAAAUGUGCACUCAUGGCUUCAUGUAAAAUCUUCGUUGCCACGGUCAACCAAUGGCCGAAGCCUAUGAUUUUUUGUUUUCAUUUCAAAACGUUGUAAUGAUUGUGGAGCGUACGCAGGCAAAAAGGCCCAGAUGCUUAACAUAUCAUGUCUUUAAGUUUUAUGCCUUGGUUCUUACAAAAAUUAAUAGUACUCAUUUCAAAUAUGACUCAAUGUGUUGGUAGGCAUUAAAAUGCAUUUAAUUAUGUAGAUAACCAAUUAAUACUUCAAUAUUUGUCAACGCAUAUUAAGCGCAAUUAUUUUUACGGCGGGAUCACUUGAAACGGCUCUGUAAAGCUCGAUGUGUCGAAAAAUUGAUGGCCGCCUGCGCGACGCUACAUUGCGUUGUUGGUAGAAAAUCGGCUUGCCGUAAAUAUGUAUGAGCAUGCAAACAUAUCGACAUAAAUUUUUGCGAGCCACAGAAUUUUUGCUGAAAAAUAUUUUAAAUCGACUCAAGGGCAAUGUUGCCACUUUUCUCCCUAGGUUUUUGCGGCGUUGCAACUUUUCCUUCUGAGGGAACAUUAAAAAAAUCUUCAAUUUAUGAUUUUUGUCAUCGUCGCGAAAAAGCGUUUGUUGGCAUGGCAUGCGCGGGGAGAUGUAUAUGGCUCUGCUUUUAUGAAUGAAGCAACUUUGCCAAGUGAAUGUGCGCCUGCGUUCGUGAAUGAAAAUGUUUUUGUUGCGUUUACUACAAUAUUUGGCUAUGUCGAUUGGUUACCAUAUUGACUUGUGAUGCUACUCAUGCGUUUGAGGUGCUUGUUGUUUUUGUGGUGGUUGACAAACUUACGUACACGCAUAUGAAAAUGUAAGUUUGUGUGUUUGUUCAGUGACAUGCAAACAUAUGUAUGUAGAUAUAUGCAUACAGAGCAAUGCGUGCACAUGUGACAUGACCUUCACUGAAAAGUGAUAAUGAUACUAUUCGAAUUUUUGAAGACAUAUUUACAUAUCCUGCUGAAUGACAGUGAGAGUACAACACCAGGAGAUGGCGAACCCGAUCCCCCAAUCGAUGACGAUGGAACAGAUGUUCCAUUACCCGAUCAUGAAGAAAUUCGAAUAGCAAUUACCCGCUUGAAGAACAACAAAGCAGCGGGGGCCGAUAGAUUACCGGCAGAACUAUUCAAAUACGGCGGCGAAGAACUGAUAAGGUGCAUGCAUCAGCUUCUUUGCAGAAUAUGGUCGGAAGAAAGCAUGCCUGACGAUUGGAAUCUCAGUGUGCUCUGCCCAAUCCAUAAAAAGGGAGAUCCCACAAUCUGCGCCAAUUACCGUGGGAUCAGCCUCCUAAAUAUCGCAUACAAGGUUCUAUCGAGCGUACUGUGUGAAAGACUAAAGCCCACCGUCAACAAACUGAUUGGACCUUAUCAGUGUGGCUUUAGACCUGGAAAAUCGACAACUGACCAGAUAUUCACCAUGCGCCAAAUCUUUGAGAAGACCCGUGAAAAGAGGAUCGACACACCCCACAUUUUUGUCGAUUUUAAAGCUGCUUUCGACAGCACGAAAAGGAGUUGCCUUUACGCCGCGAUGUCUGAAUUUGGUAUCCCCGCAAAACUAAUACGGCUGUGUAAAUUGACGUUGAGCUUAUGAUAUUGAUAUCAUCGGAAGCAACAACCGCGCCGUUUGUUCUGCUUUUUCCCGCAUGGAUAAUGAGGCGAAGCGAAUGGGUCUGGAGGUGAAUGAGGACAAGACGAAAUAUCUCCUGUCAUCAAACAAACAGUCGGCGUAUUCGCGUCUUGGCUCCCACGUCACUGUUGACAGUCAUAACUUGUAGAUAAUUUCGUAUACCUGGGAACCAGCAUCAACAACACGAACAAUGUCAGCCUCGAAAUCCAGCGCAGAAUAACUCUUGCCAACAGGUGCUACUUUGGACUGAGUAGGCAAUUGAACAGUUAAGUCCUCUCUCGACGAACCAAAAUCAAGCUCUACAAGUCGCUUAUCAUUCCCGUCCUGCUUUACGGUGCAGAAGCUUGGUCAACAUCAGAUGAGACGACACUAGGAGUUUUCGAGAGGAAAAUUUUGCGCAAGAUUUAUGGUCCUCAGAACAUUGGCAACGGCGAAUACCGCAGACGAUGGAACGAUGAGCUGUACGAGUUAUACGACGACAUUGACAUAGUUCAGCGAAUAAAAAGACAGCGGCUACGCUGGCUAGGUCAUGUUGUCCGAAUGGACGAAAACACUCCAGCCCUGAAAGUGUUCGAUGUAGUACCCGCCGGAGGAAGCCGAGGAAGGGGAAGGCCUUCACUCCGUUGGAGGGACCAGGUGGAGAGCGACCUGGUUACACUUGGGAUCUCCAACUGGCGCUGAACUGCGAAGGAGAGAGAGAGGUGGCGCACUAUCGUCGAUUCGGCUAUAACCGGCUAAACGGUUGCAACGCCAAUCACAUACAUACACACGUAAAUGCUUAUGUAUAUAGACAUAUAUAUGUAUACAAGUUUAGAGUUAUGAAAUAUGUAGUUUAUUUUGGUAUUGUACGAAAUGUAUUUAGUAUAAAAAUAUAAACAUAUUUUUUAUGGAAGUAUGUACAUACACAUGUAUAUUAUUAUAAAACAUAUAUUUUUUCUACAAAUAUGUCUCUGAAUUCGCAUAAUUCAUUUGACAUUUUUUCAAUUGUGGAUGCAUUUAUAAAUAUCUGCAAAACGAAUUUCAUAUCAAUUGUAUAUUGUAUAAAAUUCAUUUAUGAAUUUCAUAUCAUUUGUAUAUAGUAAGCAUAUAAAUGCAUCAACAUAUAAACAAAAAGCCUAACAUGCGUCUAUAAUAGAAAUGUAAACUUCUGAGCAUAUUUUUCAAUUAAUACUCAGUUCUGUUACGAGUCACUGUUAAUAUUUCUCCUUCCAAGUUGGCCGUGGUGAUAGCUUAUAGCAUUUUGAUAGGUUUUGACAAUUCACACGCUUGUCCGCAAUUGAACCUUCUCUAUAUUAUACGUUCUCUGCAACUUUAGAGAAAUCGUGUCCACCGACUUAAAAAUUAGUUCUGAGAUAAAGAAAUUUGAUGAAAAUAUUAUUGGAAUUAUGAUAUACAUAUAUGUGUAUUAGACUAAUCAACUAACCGAAUUAACAGGGUAGGGAAUUAUUCGAAUAAUAAUAAUCGGUUUUCGGGUUAUUCGAAUAAUUUUAAGAGCCAUAAUGUGUAUAAUUCAUAGGUAGAUAUGGAAAUUAAAGUUUAUUAUGUUCUAUAUUAAAAGUAAGUUAUCUUUCAACUAACAAUUGUAAGGUUAAUGUAACAGAGCCUCUUACAGUGUCAACACUUCAAUAAGUCUUAGGGAACUAUGGAUAUCACGCUAAAAUGAAAUUUGCACUCAAGACCCAAAAUGGAGUUUGGAGCGUCGUCAAUCAUCUGGUCACUUGGUUUGGCGUAAGGAGUCUCCUAGUUCUAAAGUGCGUUUUCGUUUUGAUGUUGAAGUAUUGGAAUUUGAGAAACAGCCCCACGAAGAUAU